RNAcentral lists this ribosomal RNA (253 nucleotides) under uncultured bacterium. RNAcentral describes it as "partial 16S ribosomal RNA". It matches the Rfam family "Bacterial small subunit ribosomal RNA", at positions 524 to 776 of the family's 1533-position model. The record is from RNAcentral.
UACGUAUGUCGCGAGCGUUAUCCGGAAUUAUUGGGCAUAAAGGGCAUCUAGGCGGUAACUCAAGUCAGGGGUGAAAACUUGUGGCUCAACCAUAAGCUAGCCUUUGAAACUGAGUGACUAGAGUAUUGGAAAGGUGGGCGGAACUACACGAGUAGAGGUGAAAUUCGUAGAUAUGUGUAGGAAUGCCGAUGAUGAAGAUAGCUCACUGGACGAUAACUGACGCUGAAGUGCGAAAGCUAGGGGAGCGAACAGG